RNAcentral lists this ribosomal RNA (2231 nucleotides) under Triticum aestivum (bread wheat). RNAcentral describes it as "partial small subunit ribosomal RNA". The record is from RNAcentral. Lineage: Eukaryota; Viridiplantae; Streptophyta; Magnoliopsida; Poales; Poaceae.
UUUUCCUCCCCUCGCGCGCCGCUCGUCUCUGUCCCGCAGCGGGGAGUUCGGGCUGCGCCGGCCGCCGGCGACGGCGACGAACCACCGCGCCGGCCAGCGUCUUUCCCCUGCCCCUCUGCUCCGCUCCAGAUCCUUCCCUUUCCCCUUCUUUCUUCCGCGCCCACCGACGUGCUACCGCGCCGCGGGAGUAGUUUCCUCCUCUCAUCGCUCGCUCUGUCCCGCGGCGGAUCGACUUCUGUGCCGGCGAGCCGGCGACGGCGUCGGACGCGACCGCGCUGCGCCACUCUUUCCCCUUCCCCUUUCUUUUCUCCAGUCCGCCGAGCCACGAAGAGUGAGAGAGCGCGAGCCGAGCCCACCUCUGCUCCCCCUUGGACGACGACGGCGGAGCAUGCGCCGUUGCCUUCCCCUUCGCCGGCCGCGCGUUCGCCUCGCGGUGAGCGCGUUGCCGUCGUACGGAUUGGCCGCGGUGCUCUUUGCCCCUUUCGGGGUAGGUUCUUCGUCCGACGCCUCGGCUUGCCGAUGCGCGGCCGGAUCGAGAGGAAUAGGCGCGGCCAUGACGGCGGCGCUCUUUGCCGGCGGGCCCAAGGCCCUCUCCGGUGAACUUUUUGUUUGCUUUUCUCUGCCCUGAUAGGGUUCUUUGGGGAGGAAAAACUAUCGCUUUGAUUUCUUUCUACCGAAAACAACUAGCCCGAUCUGGCUGAUACCAUUGAUAGAACUUUGGAUCGGAGUAGGCUAGUAGAUCCGGUGAACCUACCUUGUCCAGCAGCGGAUGAACUCGAGCCGGAGGCCAUCGUGAUGCUAGGGCACACGGCGAUGGCAGAGAGUAGGCGACGGUGAUGGAGCUUCCCGUGAGCACCGCGCUAACCCUAAAUCGGUAGGGAUUGUAGGUGGGGAUUGUGACAGCGAUUAACCUCGUGAAUAGUGCCCCGGCCCCCACCUCUGUUUAUAUAGCGCGGGUCACAGGGGCCCACCAACCAUGGUUUGGUUGGGCGCCCCCAAUCAGGGGGCGAGUCAGGGGCCCGUUCGACCCGUUGGGCUCGAACGGGAGAGAGAUCAACCUAACACAGAUAACUCUCGAUCUUCAGUAUGGCGCCUCAAGUUCUGGAACGUAACCCCGCAUCCAAAACGACAUGAUCGCUCGCAUUUAUUUCGCAUGAUCUUUCAAUUCCAGGCCAACGCCUAUAGGUCGCAUGAUCUCCCCCUUCAAAUCUUGGUCGACGUAGAGGGGUUGGGAGGAGGAGGAUACACAGGGAGCGGCAGCGGGCAGGCAAACGGGAGGGCCGCAUCUCGGAGCUCCCCGACGCGUAGCGCCGUAGAUUCUGAGCCUGCUGCUGCUCAAGUCAGCCAUCCACGCCGGCGCACUGUCCUUACGGUGGUGCGACCUCCUCCUCACUCCGCUACAGAUUCCCGUCGGGCGUGUAGGGGACGGUGGAGACGGAGGACCAGUUUGCAGCCAUCCUCUCGGUGAUGCGGUGCUGGAUGGUAUGCACUUCGAUACAGAGGGCGAGGCAGGUUGCGGGAGGCAAGACGUACAUGCUCACCGUGGCUCUGCAAUGCCCGUUCCCCAAACGUGUCCCUCUCUGUGCUUGGCAUGGGUUGUGGGUAUAGUAACAGUUCUACAACAUCCUGCCAUGGCAAUCCGCAUCUGGAGAUGUGAGCACAACAGUGGACGGUGCCUUGCCGUCAGGGACCGUUUACCCAGGCCUGCCGGCCAAGUUGGAUGUGCUACGGACAGUGGGUUCGUCGAAGCGAAAACUUUCCUGUAGCAGGUGCUGCAGAGCUGCCGGUGGAAGGCGUGGACAAUUAAGACGGGGUCAUGUGUGGAGCCGCUUCAACGACAUGGACUUUGGCAUUAGUGUGAAGUUGCAGCGCAACUAGCAAAACUGGAACAGAACAUACAGGCAACCCGAUCAAGGUUCUGGCAAAAGCCCUCUACGUGCGUGUCUUUGCAAUUCAUAUCACCGAAGCGCAACUGGAGAUGUGACUGAUGGAGGAGCGCCUGCUACAACUUGUGCUAGAAUGCUAUUCCUUUGUUGAUGUUUUUUGAGAUAGCUACCCACUUAUUUCAAGUGGUAUUCCUUUGUUUGAUAGAGAUGAGAGGCAAGGAAAGAGACACGGGUGAGAGUGCAAGAGAGAAUGUAUGGUUUUAUUUCUUACGUGUCUAGUGUACAAUGUACAGAUAUAACUCACGAUAGUGCAGCCGUUUGAUAGAUAUAUAUACAACAUGACCG